This 253-nucleotide ribosomal RNA is filed under the name uncultured bacterium. Its description in RNAcentral is "partial 16S ribosomal RNA". It matches the Rfam family "Bacterial small subunit ribosomal RNA", at positions 524 to 776 of the family's 1533-position model. The record is from RNAcentral.
UACGUAGGGACCAAGCGUUGUUCGGAUUUACUGGGCGUAAAGGGCGCGUAGGCGGCGUGACAAGUCACUUGUGAAAUCUCUGAGCUUAACUCAGAACGGCCAAGUGAAACUGUUGUGCUAGAGUGCAGAAGGGGCAAUCGGAAUUCUUGGUGUAGCGGUGAAAUGCGUAGAUAUCAAGAGGAACACCUGAGGUGAAGACGGGUUGCUGGGCUGACACUGACGCUGAGGCGCGAAAGCGUGGGUAGCAAACGGG